UUCAAGUAACUGGGACUGCAGGCAUUGACCACCAUGCCCACCUAAUUUUAAAGAUUUUUGUAGAGAUGGGCUCUCGCUAUGUUGUCUAAACUGGUGUCGAAUUCUUGGGCUUAAGUGAUCCUCCCACCUCAGCCUUGCAAAAUGCUAGGAUUAUGGGCAUGAGCCACUGUACCCAGAAAGAAAAUUUAUUAUUGAUACAUAACACUAUGUAACCUAUAGACCUUAUUUAAAUCUUACAGUUAUCCCAAUAAUAUAUUUAUUGGUUUUCUGCUCUAGAGUCCAAAGAUUACACAUUGCAUUUAGACUGCUUUAAUCUGAAUUGCUACCUCUUUCAUUGUUUUUAAUGACCUUGAUAUUCUUGAGAUUAUUUUGUAGAAUGUCUCUUAAUUUGGAUUUGCCUGAGGUUUCCUUACAAUUGGAUUUGAAUUACAUUUUUUUCCCUGAGGACUCUUAAGUGGUGUGCAGCACAUCAGGAAACACGGUUAGUUAAGUGAAGCAGUUGGAGUGAAGAAGGAACAAAGAAAUCUGGAACUGGUUGUGAUCACCAGUUGUAACACUACUGCACCCAAACCAGCCUAUAGAUGCAUUUUUAACUGUGUGAUGGGGGUGACUGUCCCAAUCCCAGAGUUGUUCAAGGGUUGACUGCACUAAUUCUUCCAAUCAAUAAAUAUGGAAUAUCUUUCCAUUUUUCUGUGUCGUCUUCAAUUUCUUUCAUCAGUGUUUUAUAGUUAUCAACCUGGAGUUCUUUCACUGCCUUGGUUAAGUGUAGUCCUAGGUAUAAUUUUUUUGUAGUGUUUGUAAAUGGAAUAGUUUCUUGAUUUCUUAUUUUAGAUAGUUCACUGUUAGCAUAUUUCCUUCACUUCCCUGCCAGCUCCUUUCAUUUGCCAAAAAAUCCCUGUAUUUCAAAGUGAUCAAUUAAACCCAACAAAAAUGAGAAAAUUUUGUUGUUCUGUGACCCGAUCAAAGGUUACUUUUCCUUCUUGUGAGUCUUUAACAUCUUUGAAUCGCUCAUGAUAGAUAUCAUUGUCUAGAUAUAUCCAGGCACAUGAAAAGAAUGCAAUAAGAUAAAAAAGAGUUUGAGAUUCUCUGUUCACCUUUCUCUCUAUACAGCCACAUUUACUUCAUUUUUUAAUUUUCUUUUUUCUUUUUUUUUUUUUGCCUCUCCACUCUUUGAAACAGCCACAUUUAACUUUCCAGUCACACUUAGUUGUAGUGUCACUUUAGAAAGGAAACAAAGAAAACAGAACAGGGAAGGAACAGAAAAAUAAAGGUCAAGCGCUAAUAGCCCCUGAGAACAGUUAACUGAAUCCACUUACAUAUUUAAAAAUAAAUAAAUUAUUUAAAGUGGCAAGGUCUGCCUUGCGGAAGAUUUUAGGAAGCGUAGUGCGUGAGAACCAGGUAGCUAAGACUACUUCCGUUUGGCGGGGCGGGACAGUAGCCUGUUUCCGCUCGGGCAUUCUGGGAAGUGUAGUGCAGGAGUCGUUGCAACCUUGUGCACUUCCGCUGCAGGAGGGCGAGGCAGCCGUCAUCAAUCCCCUCUGGGAGUUCUGCCUUCGCAGGACCCUGCCCUUCCCUAGAAGGAGCAGGAGAAAAUGACCAAGUUUCAGGGGAUGGUGACAUUCAAGGAUGUGGCUGUGGUCUUCACCAGGGAGGAGUUGGGGUUGCUGGACCUUGCCCAGAGAAAGCUGUACCAAGAUGUGAUGCUGGAGAACUUCAGGAACUUGCUGUCAGUGGGCUAUCACCCCUUCAAACUAGAUGUGAUACUACAGUUGGGAAGAGAAGACAAGCUUUGGCUGACGGAGACAGAAAUCCAAGGAGAUGGCUGUUCAGGUGAGAACCAUGCACCUCUGAGUCUUUGCGUGGUACAACCCAGUCCUCUCCUCCUCACCACCCCCUAGGCCACCAGCCUGGCCCAAGCCCUCAGCAUUCAUCACCCCGGUUUACUGCAGCAGCUUGCACAUGACCUUCCUCCUUCUACCUCCCUCCAGUCCAUUCUCCACGUAGCAGCCAGAUCAUGACACAGGAAUCAAAAUGAGAUAGAUAUCCUUCAAGAAGUAAGAUUAAGAUUCCUUUCAUAUGAAGAACUUAUAUGCUGGCAAAUAUGGGAACAAUUUACAAGUAAAUUAACCAGUAAUCAAGACUUCAUAAUAAAUCUUCAAGGCCAGAGGUCCAACUUGCUAAAACAAGGUGAUUCCCCCUGUCAGGUGUGGACAGGAGAAUCUAUUCAGGUCUCUGAAGAUGAGAACUAUACAAUAAAGGGGCAAGGGGAGAGUUCAAAUAGCAUCAAAAAUCAAGAGCUUCCAAUGAGGACCACCUGGGAUUUCUGGAGGAAAAUGUAUCUGAGAGAACCACAGAAUUAUCAGAGUAGGUGUCAGCAAAUUGAUGUAAAAAAUAAUCUCUGUAAAUGUGACCAUUGUGUUACGCAAAGGAUUGCUCAUCAACAUGAUGGUCAUGGAGUACACAAAAGAGAGAAAGCUUUUAGCCACAAUAAUUGUGGAAAAGACUGUGUGAAGGAAUCAUCCCAACAUAGCGUAAUCCAAUCAGGAAAGCAAACCUCUGAGAAUGGAAAAGGCUUCAGUGUUAGCUCUAAUCUUGAACUUCACCAGCAACUACACUUAGAAGACAAGCCUCAUGUAAGUGUCGAGUAUGGGAAGGGCAUAGGUUACAGCUCAGGGCUUCCCAGGCAUCAAUGUGUCCACAUAGGAGAGAAAUGCUAUCAGAAUGGUGACAGUGGUGAGGGCUUCAGUCAGGGCUCACAUGUGCAACCUCAUCAGAGAGUCAGCACAGGAGAGAACCUCUACAGAUGUCAGGUAUGUGCCCAGAGCUUCAACCAGAACUCCUGUCUUCCCUCUCAUGAGCUUACUCACCCCAGAGAGAAGUUGUGUACAUGUGGCACGUGUGGGAAGGGCUUCCAUCAUAGCUUAGAUUUUGACAUUCACUGUGUAGAUAGUGCUGGAGAGCGAGCCUGUAAAUGUGAUGUAUAUGAUAAAGGCUUCAGUCAGACAUCACAACUUCAAGCCCAUCAGAGAGGUCACUCUAGAGAGAAGACAUACAAAUGGGAAGUAAGUGACAGGAUAUUUAAUAGGAAUUCUGGUCUUCAUCAGAGAGUUCACACUGGAGAGAAACCAUAUACAUGUGAGGUAUGUGAUAAGGGCUUCAGUAAGGCCUCAAAUCUUCAAGCCCAUCAGAGAAUCCACACUGGAGAGAAACCCUACAAAUGUGAUGUGUGUGAUAAGAACUUCAGCCGUAAUUCCCACCUUCAGGCCCAUCAGAGAGUCCAUACAGGAGAGAAACCCUACAAAUGUGACACACGUGGGAAGGACUUCAGUCAGAUCUCUCACCUUCAGGCCCAUGAGAGAGUUCACACAGGAGAGAAGCCAUACAAAUGUGAGACAUGUGGGAAGGGCUUUAGUCAGAGUUCGCAUCUCCAGGACCAUCAGCGAGUCCAUACUAGAGAGAAACCCUACAAAUGUGGUGUGUGUGGGAAAGGCUUCAGUUGGAGUUCACAUCUUCAAGCCCAUCAGAAAGUCCACACAGGAGAGAAACCAUACAAAUGUGAAGAAUGUGGGAAAGGCUUCAUCUGGAACUCAUAUCUCCACGUUCAUCAGAGGAUCCACACGGGAGAGAAACCCUAUAUAUGUGGCAUGUGUGGUAAGAGCUUCAGUCAGACCUCACAUCUUCAAGCCCAUCAGAGUCCAUACUGGAGAGAAACCAUACAAAUGUUUUGUGUGUGGUAAGGGCUUUAGUAAGAGUUCAUGUCUUCAGAUUCAUCAGAGAGUCCAUGAUGGUGAUAAAUCCAUUAAUCAUGAUGAGUGUGAUAGAGGUGCUCUUCAAGACUUAGACUUCUCAUUUUCCUAGAAAAUCCGCACAGCAGAGAAUAUUUAUAAAAUGUCAUGUUUUAAGAAUUCACGAGUGAGCUGAGUUUUUAUAGUCAUCUGAAUUCCAUUGAAGAAAACCUAUUUUUUGUAUGAAUAUGACCAAUUUCAAGCAGAGCUCAAAAUGUCACAGUUGUCAAGAGAACACAAAACAAAGAAACCCUAUAAAGAAUGAUACGAUACAUUUGAAUCAGAACCUUCACAUUCAAUAAGCAAUAUGCAGGAGUGAAGACUUCAAAAUGAUAAGGUCAGAACUUUAUCAAAAGUAUAAUGAGGGACAUGACAAAAUCUGUGUCCACUAGAAUCUAAGCUCCAUGCAGGAACAUUGUUUGCUGCUGUAUGAUCAUGACCUUGAACCAGUACCUAACAAGUAGUGGCUUCCCUGGAAUUGUUCAAUUUGAUAGGAAAAAUCUAUCAUAUAUAGGACAUAUAUUUGAACAUUUUAGUGAGCUCAGCCACAAUUCGUCAUUAUAAUUGUACUGGGAAAAGGAUUCUUGCAAGAAGCCUUAAAAUAAAUUCAAGGAAAUGACGUUUAAUUAAAACACAGAAAACCA
Molecule: RNA transcript, 4429 nt
Organism: Cercocebus atys (sooty mangabey)
Lineage: Eukaryota; Metazoa; Chordata; Mammalia; Primates; Cercopithecidae
Gene: ZNF233
Gene name: zinc finger protein 233
Exons: 6
Source: RefSeq, a predicted model, not a curated record